This 497-nucleotide ribosomal RNA is filed under the name uncultured bacterium. Its description in RNAcentral is "partial 16S ribosomal RNA". It matches the Rfam family "Bacterial small subunit ribosomal RNA", at positions 28 to 507 of the family's 1533-position model. The record is from RNAcentral.
GAUGAACGCUGGCGGCGUGCCUAAUACAUGCAAGUCGAGCGAACAGACGAGGAGCUUGCUCCUCUGACGUUAGCGGCGGACGGGUGAGUAACACGUGGAUAACCUACCUAUAAGACUGGGAUAACUUCGGGAGACCGGAGCUAAUACCGGAUAAUAUAUUGAACCGCAUGGUUCAAUAGUGAAAGACGGUUUUGCUGUCACUUAUAGAUGGAUCCGCGCCGCAUUAGCUAGUUGGUAAGGUAACGGCUUACCAAGGCGACGAUGCGUAGCCGACCUGAGAGGGUGAUCGGCCACACUGGAACUGAGACACGGUCCAGACUCCUACGGGAGGCAGCAGUAGGGAAUCUUCCGCAAUGGGCGAAAGCCUGACGGAGCAACGCCGCGUGAGUGAUGAAGGUCUACGGAUCGUAAAACUCUGUUAUUAGGGAAGAACAAAUGUGUAAGUAACUAUGCACGUCUUGACGGUACCUAAUCAGAAAGCCACGGCUAACUACGUG